This 440-nucleotide ribosomal RNA is filed under the name uncultured bacterium. Its description in RNAcentral is "partial 16S ribosomal RNA". It matches the Rfam family "Bacterial small subunit ribosomal RNA", at positions 338 to 795 of the family's 1533-position model. The record is from RNAcentral.
CCUACGGGUGGCAGCAGUAGGGAAUAUUGCACAAUGGGGGAAACCCUGAAGCAGCAACGCCGCGUGGAGGAUGAAGGUUUUCGGAUUGUAAACCCCUUUCGUUAGAGAAGAUAAUGACGGUAUCUAACGAAUAAGCACCGGCUAACUCCGUGCCAGCAGCCGCGGUAAUACGGAGGGUGCAAGCGUUACUCGGAAUUACUGGGUGUAAAGAGCGCGUAGGCGGGAUAGCAAGUCAGAUGUGAAAUCCUAUGGCUUAACCAUAGAACUGCAUUUGAAACUGUUAUUCUAGAGUGUGGGAGAGGUAGGUGGAAUUCUUGGUGUAGGGGUAAAAUCCGUAGAGAUCAAGAGGAAUACUCAUGGCGAAGGCGGCCUGCUGGAACAUAACUGACGCUGAGGCGCGAAAGCGUGGGGAGCAAACAGGAUUAGAUACCCGGGUAGUC